GGUUCUGGUGGGUUUCCGCCCGGUGCGGCAGCGGCGCGGGUAGGGGAGCUCCUUGUUGCCGCCGAGGACGGGCCGCGGGUUGCCGCUGUCAGGCAGGCCGAGGUCGUUGUAGACGUCGUAGCGGUAGACGCGGUCAUGCUCCUUGUACGGGCCUUGCUGGUCGUCGCCCCUCAGGUUCCGGAGCUCGUCGUCGCGGUAAGGCUUGAGCGCCGCCGGCAUCUGGCUGGGCAGGUACGUCUGUUCGUGCAGAGAGGAGAGAAUUCAUGUCAAGAGACUCUGCUCAGAUCCUUGGUUUGCUGACGAACAUUGGAAUAAUGGGCGGCGCGCUACUCACGUCGUUGGAGAAGAAGACGCGGUUGUAGCGGUACUUGGACUGCGGGUAGAUCCAUGAGUUGGCGACGAAGACGACGGUGCCGUGGCCGGGGACGUCGUCGAGGGUGAUGGUCUUGAGGAAGAACUCGGAGGCGUGGUUGUUCUUGACGAUGAUGGCGCCUGGAAUGCCCUGCUUCUCCACCUCCCAGUCGAAGGUGACGUGGAACUUGUUCUCGCCGGACAGAAGCGGCGGCGGGUUCAGCAGCCACUUCUCCAGGCUCGCCUCCGCGCCCACCUUCCCGCGGUUGCCAUUGUCUGCACGCGCGCGCCACAGUACCAUGGAUUCAGAGUCCCACAGACGACCAACGUGUAAAAUGUGCGCUCCUAAUAUGUUAAUAAAAAGCAUUAUCCGAUCUUUUUUUUGCCUAGAUCCGGUUUACUAUACUAAUAAGUAGAUUUAAAGUGGAUUGAUCUUCGUUUUCGUCAUAUUAUAUUGUUUUUGAAAACGACAUUUUUUUUCACUCUGUUGUUAGUUGUUACUGAUGCAUGCAAGAGAACUGAGAGGGAGAGAAUUAAGGAAGUCCGGCAGGGGAGGGAGGGUGCUGUCUGUGCUCACUGGGGUCGACGACGGUGGAGCUGAUAAGCUGGCAGGUGACGCCGCGUCCGAGGAACUCGCCAACGCCGUCGAGGAGGGAGCCGGCGAUGCUGGUGACGUCCAAGCCGAGCACGGUCUUGCGCACGAGCACCACGUUGCCCUUGAGCUGCGCAUGCUUGUUGCUGCCCGUGAUGUCUCCGAUUAUCUUUCCGAUCAUCUUCGGUUCUACCGGCGGAGCUAACUGCAAACUGCUACUUGUUCCUUGGAGUGGGAGUGGCUAGCAGCUGUGGGUAUUGGCUGUGUGAUGAGUGUGAGUGAGUGAUGGCUGAGCGGGCAGGCCAGCUAUUUAUAGAGCGGGAGACACAGCUGGUGGCUCAGGAAGAUAUAUUGAAGUCGUCGACUGUUAUUAGAAACAAAACGUGUAUCACGUUGCCGUGUUUGAACUACUCCGAUCCCACGGUAAAACAUAUAUACUUUCAUCAGAGAAAGUUAUGUUUUUGUAAAGCUUGACCAAUGUUUAGUAAAAGUAUUUGAGUUUGAGACUUAUAACUUGGAUCAAUAGAUCUGUGUUCGAAUGCCUUUAAAGUAAUAUUGGUUUUCUUUAGCAAUUGAUGAUAUAAUAAGAGAAAUUAAGGGUCGAAAUAUAUGUCAUUUCACUUUUGCAUGUCUAGUACAAACACAUAGUGGAUGUUGGUGAAACUUGUAAGACUAUCCCCACACAAAUAGCACAGAUGACUAGUUUCUUUCCAUUACAAUAUUCAGGUUUUUCUUGAAAAUAUUUUUCAUUUAUAGUUUUUUUGUUUCAUUGUAUCAUUUCUGUACAUACACCUGUUGCGUCUAUGGGCAUGAACUAUGUACAGAUAUCAUUGAUCAAUACCUUGGCUUAAACUUAUUAUCAUCUCUCUUAUCUUCCAUUUCUUCUCACUCCAGUCACAUGGCUAUACAAUUUCUAUCAAAGCCAAAUUAAGGUACUUGAUAAAACCAUGACUUAAGUCUUCUUGGCCCUCUUCUAAAUGUAAUUUUUGAACUAUCUUGUGCGUUUUUAUUAUGGAGUCAUGGUUACCUUUUUUUUUCGCGAUGCAACUCUGUCUAUUGGAGCCAGUACUACCUCAAGUAGUUGCAGACCAACCCUUUCAUUGCGCCAACAUCCAUCCGUGCCUCAAGUCUCUCCCCCCCCCCCCCCCCCCCCAAAAAAAAAAACCGUUGAACAAUCAUUGGUGAUCUACUGAGAUCAGGCAUGUAGCAUGUUACCCAUGCGCACUCUACAAGUCAUCGGAAAUGAUAUGACCACACCAUAUUUGUUUUCACUUAGGCCCUGUUUAGUUCUCCACCCAAAAAUUUUUCAUCCAUCCCAUCGAAUCUUUAGACACAUGCAUGGAACAUUAAAUGUAGAUAAAAAAAUAAACUAAUAACACAGUUUAGUUGAGAAUCGCGAGACGAAUCUUUUAAGCCUAGUUACUCCAUGAUUAGCCUUAAGUGCUACAGUAACCCACAUAUGCUAAUGAUAGAUUAAUUAUGCUUAAUAAAUUUGUCUUGCAGUUUCCUGACGAGCUAUGUAAUUUGUUUUUUUAUUAGUCUGUAAAAACCCCUCCCGACAUCCUUCCGACAUAUCCGAUGUGACAUUCAAAAAAUUUUCGUUCCCAAUCUAAACAGGCCCUUAUGACAACGUCUUGAGAAGAAAAAAAAGCUAAACGAUUUCUAUUGCGUUCCUCACGAGCUUCUCAUGCAUGAGUACGGAGGAGUAGUCAUAAUAUACAAGUAGGCGUUUGUCUUGUUAAAGUUUACUACUCGUCAUAUCGAAUGUUUGGACAUAUACAUGGAGUAUUAAAUAUAAACUAUUUACAAAAUUAAAAAGACAGCUGAAGAGUAAUUUGAGAGACGGAUCUUUUAACCCUAAUUAGUUCAUGAUUGAAUACUAAUUAUCAAAUAAGACAAAACUGCUACAGUACAUGUUAAACUUUAACAUCCCAACAAAACACCCCCUAGACCUAUUUCUCUCCAAGGUGACUGCCAUGAAAGUUAUCAGAUUGAAACAAUGAUGGUUGGAAUCGAUAAUUUGUUCGGUUAUUUUCAUUUCUAACAAUGCCAAUACUGAUGUAAAACUUAGUGGGUGUUUGGUUGAGUUGUUAAAGUUAACAGGUACUGUAACACUUUUAUGUUAUUUGACAAUUAGUGUCCAAUCAUGAACUAAUUAGGCUCAAAAGAUUCGUCCUGCAAAUUACUCUCUAGCUGUGUUUUUAGUUUCGUAAAUAGUCUAUAUUUAGUACUUCAUACAUAUAUUCAAAUAUUCAAUGUGACGGACGAUAAACUUUACCGUCUAUAACCAAACAAGCCCUUAUCAUUAGAAAGACUUGGAAAGAGCGACUCGGCGAGUAGACAUGUCGAGAUAGCAAUGCAUAGAACACCAGAUGUGGUGGAAGGUAAUGGGGGAGUGACAUGGGGAUUUAAAAUGCUUAAAAAAAAUCCUUGGCGUAUUAGUGUGUGACUUGGAUAGCUCACAUGCAUAUAUGCAAUCCUUCCCUUGGAUGAUCCUUGUAGUUUUCUUGUCUUUAUUUAUUGCCGUGACAAAAGUCCACAGUUUUAACUAAUUGAACUGUAAACUACUAUCUCUUUUCAAACCGCAUAAAUAACACAUAUAGAUACCUUAUUUUUGUUACAAUAUUUAAAUUGUUUACUUGAAAAUAAUUUGUUUUAGAUCAUUUUGUUUCUUUAUCUGUGUGUAUUGCUUCUUUCAUCAUGUGACCCCUCUCUUGUAUCCAUCAGCAAAAACCUCACAUGCCAUCGUUAAUCAAUUUUUUUUUGGUUAAAACUAGUCGACUUUCUCUCACCUUUUUUUAAUUCCUAUCUCAGUUUAUGUACUUCCAUCAAAUCAAGGUAACCUUUUGGAAACAAGCUUUAAGUUUUUUUUGGUAAACUUUAUUUUUUUAAUAAUUACAUUAUGUAGACCUCUUAUAAAUUAUUUACUUUCACCAUGUUUCUAAAGAAAGUCGUUUUGAGAUUGUCCUCGAGCAAGGGCACGUCGCCGGUGCCGCGGCUGUCCCACCUAUGGCAGUCCUCGAGCGAGUUCUGCGGCUCAUGGGCGUCGGCGGCACAACACCGUGCCUCGACGGUGGGGGCGCGGCGUUCAACUCCUCUGCCCGACACUGCUUCCGUGAACUCGCGCACGGUCACCAUUAGCUCCGGCGCCAGCUUGGCACCUACGGCCACCUCCGAGAAUCUUGUCGAACAUAGCUCGAAAGUUGGCGUCCUCGUCUACCUCGCCUCUGAGGUAAACAACAUCAUAAUCUGUGUUUACAAUUAAACUAUUGUGUUGAUUUUUUCAAAGAAAAAAACAUUGUGUUUGAAUCUAAUCUUCCAAUGGUGUAUUGAUUAAUUUCAGGUGCUGAUUCACUUUGCUUCCUUUUUGCUCGUUUGGAACGCUGCCAGGGACAACAAGAAGACGCGCAUCAUUCCCCACCACGGCGCCACGUGCUGGCGUGCUGCUGGCAAUCCAGUGAUCCACAAUGGCCCUGUUUGGAUACUCUAGCUCGGCUAGAAGUUAGAGUUAGUUUCUAGCUCAAGACUAGCCUUAAACUAGCUCUAGCCGAAGACAUGUUUGGAUGCAAGGGUUAGAAUGACAAUAUCUAAUCAUUUGACUCAUUUAAACCAUCUUUCUAUUCGGAUUUGGUGUGGCAGGCUCUCGUGUGGCCUCCCCCGCUUACAAAUGACACAAAUAAAUUAUUUUUACAAAUCAAGCAUCGAAACCAUAUUAAAUUUUAAAUUGUCCAUACAAAUGACAUGUCUCACACGAACUUACAAGUCCUCAAUCAAGUUAAACAAAAAAUUUUACACUCCAUGAAACAAAGCAUGAGCUAAUUCAUCACGGAAGGCAUUCAUGUUGACAUCUUCAAUAAGAGGUUCAUCUUCUGGCCAUGUUGAUGCCGCAGAACUAGGCAUUGGGUUAUAAUUUUCAUCCGCAUCACAGGCAGCAAAUUCUCUAUCCGCAAUUCUGCUCUCUCGAAUAAAAUUAUGAAUAGCCAUACAAGCAACAAUAAUUCUAGUUUGCUUCUCUUCUGAAAAUCUUGGCAUGUUCAACAUAAUCCUAAAUUUCAUCUUGAACACUCCAAAAGUUCGCUCAAUGACAUUUCUAACUUUGGCAUGUGCAUGGUUGAAGAUUUCUUUCAUACCUUGUUGAAAGGUCCUUGUUUAGUUUUGGUAAUUGAGUGACAACUUAGGUGGACUAAUAGUGUUUAUGUGAGAUACACAGGAGAUUAGUCCACAGGUGAUUUUGUGAUGAUGGAGGAGCUCAUUGCAUAUGAGACAUGACAUGGAGUCAUGUGACCGAGGUGGAGAAGAUCAAGAUGAGGCUUGGCUCGAUGGACCGGUUGCAAGAGUGAAGGGCAAGUCGGAGGCUUUGAAGCGAGGGACCGCGUGUGACGGUGAAGCUUGAGCAAGACUUGGCGCCGAUGGACCAAGGCAACGGUGAAGAGCAAGUGAGGUCAAGAUCGAUGAACCAAUACGGUCACGUGAUGAUAUGAAGUGGAUCAUAUCAUUUGGUGAUUGGUUGGUGCAUGUGUUGCAUCAACAUUAGAGGAGAUGGAAUGGAAAGCGCAAGGCAAAGGUAUAACCUAGGGCAUUUCCAUUUUACCGGUCAUAGGUGUGUAGAGAAGUUUAUGACCGGAUUUAGGAUAGAUGGCCGUACUAUCAAGAGGGGCAAACUUGUUUGCAUAUCGGUCAUCUAGUGCCACUUGAGCGAUCUAACUUUGCAUACGUGUUAGGAUCGAGUGGCGUGGCAAGUUGAGAGGCUAACUCCUUUGGGAAAUUGUUUGUGAAAAUGCUAACACACAUGCACAUGGUGGUGUACACUUGGUGGUGUUGGCACACUUUACAAAGGAGGUGGAGUUCCUAGGGUUGAGAGGCGUGUGGGUUCCUCUCUCCCUCCCGCCGAGCUUGCUCGGCGGGAUUCGACGCUUUUGAGAAAAUAAAGUGUAUAUUUUCUAUUGCGCCGGUGGGAAUUUUGGUGAAGUCGCGGGAGUGUUUUUCUCUCCGAGAAACACUCAACGGACGCUGAGUGCGGAGGCACCGGACGCUGGCCUCAGCGUCCGGUGUGCUUGACCCUGCUAGGGUUAAGCACCGGACGCACUCUGAGAGCGUCCGGUGGUAAGCGUCCGGUGUGAGGGGUUUUUGCAACCCUCUCUGCGCACGAGUCCGGUGAGCACCGGACCGUCCGGUGCCCAGCGUCCGGUGAGGUCGCGAGUUUGACACCUUCUCUGCGCACGAGUCCGGUGAGCACCGGACCGUCCGGUGUGGACUAGUUGAGCGUCCGGUGGUGCUGUGUCAGGCGCGAGCACGAGGUAGCCGUUGGCGGCAACGGUCGAGUUCAAACGGCUAGUGACACGUGGCAGUUAGCUGAGCACCGGACGCUGGGUGUUGAGCGUCCGGUGGCCACGUUUUUCGCCCAGUGAAGGGGCAACGGCUAGUUUCGCCCUUGGGGCUAUAAAUAGAAGUGGUGGCCGGCCUUGGCCGGUGCUGAGCACCCUUGGGACUUAGUGUCCAUGCUUGGGGAGUGCUAGGAAAGCCUCUAACUCACUUGUGCUUGCAAGAGUGCGAAUCAAUAGCGAGUGAGUGAUUCUAGUGCGUUGCAUUGAGAGAUUGCAUCGAGUGGCACUAGGUGUUCGUGUUGCAAGCCGGUGGUGCUUGUUACUCUUGGAGGUUGCCACCUCCUAGACGGCUUGGUGGCUUGUGACUCCGUCGAAGCAUGCAAGAAGAUUGUGCGGUGCUCCGGAGAAGAGAUUGUGAGGGGUACGGUGCUCACCCCGCGGGGAUCGCGAAGAGCAACUCUAGUUGAGCGAGACGUGAAGAGCGACAAGUGGUCCGGCCGGGUCAAGUGCUAGAGCUUGUGGUAAGCACUCCACGUGGGAGAGUGUGACUUGCGGGUCACCACUAGCAAGAGGACCGGCGGCAACCUUGGAGCUUGUCUCAACGGGGACGUAGCUUGGUGGCAACCAAGUGAACCUCGGGAGAAAAUCAUCGUGUCAACUUUGUUCUUCCCGUUGGUUUGCAAGUCCCUAACACAAGCUUGUAUUUACAUUCAUAUAUUUGUGCUUGUGUAGUUGCUCUUGUAAUUAGUUAGCUUGUGUAGCUUUCUAGGUACCUUCUUGCUUGUGUAGCUAGAAGUAGUUCCCCUUGCGUGACUAAUUUGGUUUGUGUAAUCUUGUUAGUCACAUUGCUUGGUUUGUGUAGCUAAGUAAGUUGCGCUCUCUAAUUUGGCAUUAGUUGCCUUGUUAUUGAGCUUGCUAGUGAGCUUAGGCUUUGUGCGAUUUGCCUCACUAGUUUGUGUAGGAGCUCCCCCGGUUUGCAAAGUACUAGUUGCAUAGGUUUGUGUGACCUUGCUCCUAGAAUUGAUUAGGUGAGCUCUUGCUAAGGUAGCACCUUGCUUGCUUGUUUAGGAUCUUUUCAAGGUGCUAGAGAACUUAGAUAGAGGGGUGUAGUCUUGGCUAGACCGAUAGCUUUAAUUCCGCAUUUGUUUCGGUUAGCCGGCGCGAUAAGUUUUAGAAAGGACUAUUCACCCCCCCCCCCCUCUAGUCCGCCAUCUCGACCCUUCACUUGUGGCGGUGGGCCAUUUCUCCAUUGCUCCACAUGGUACCUUGUACAUCUGUAUGGUGAAAGGUAGCCCGACCGGUUUGGGUACCCUGCAUCAACCACAUAAUACUUCCCUACACAUUUUCAAAGGCUCACAGUGAGAUAGAUAAACAAAUGUAAUUAGAUACAAGUUGCAAGACUGUUCAAGUAGCAAACCUGAUGGCGGAUGUGGAAAUUUGUGAUGAUGACUAGUUAUGGCAUCUUUGAAAACUCUCAUGUCGUGUGCUGAACCAGGCCAUCCCGACAACACAAAGGUAAAUCUCAUGUCGAAAUCACAAAUAGCAAGUACAUUCUGACUGGUCUCAUUGUGUCUGUUCAAGUAUGGAAUCCUCUUACUCUUAUCCACCACAACCUUCACAUGUGUCCCAUCUAUAGCUCCUAUGCACUCAUUGAAGUGUGGCUAGAAUGCUGGAUUUUCUAAAUUUGGAUGCACCUCUGAAAAUGUUGGGUCCUUGGGUUUAAUGUUGUGAUGUGCUAACCUAAGGAGACAUCUCAAAACUCUGUUAAAUGUCCUACUUACUGUCUCCAGAGACCUCCUAAAACGAUUAUCAGCCUGUCUAACUGACUGUGGUGCACCAACAAUCCAUAAAAACAUAGCAAGAGCCUCUACAGAUGUCAUUUCCUUAGUGGACUUCAACCCAUACCUCUCAACCAAAGUAUUAUGUAGCCUGUAAAAUAAAGGUCUCUCAACCCUAAACAAGUUGUAACAUUGGGUAUCUCGGGAUAGUGUCUCAUGCACCCAAUCCAAACCAGAAUCCCCAGUGACUCACUUAGGUAGUUUCAUGAAAUAGUUAUCAGAGUACAUACCCAAGAUAUGAACCAACUGCAGAAUCAAAUUUUGUUGCUGCAUCAAAUUGUUGUGGCACAUGGAUAUAAUUUCAUCCUCACUUGAGUUGCCUCCAUCAUCUUGUUCUUCCUCACUUGAGUUCCCUCCAUCAUCUUCUUCCUGCUUGAUUUAUGUAAAAAAAACUAUCAGCACAUACCAUAAAGGUUCAUGGAUAAAUUUAAAUAGGUUCAGCACUUGACAUCAUAGCUCAUGGAUAAAUUCAAGAAAUUAAUACUCCAACACUUGACAUCAUAGCUCAUGGAUGAAUUUAAAUAGGUUCAGCACAUAGCAUAAAGGUUUAUUACACCACAAAGCAAAUAGUUCAACGCCUCACACACAGAUAUAGGUUCAACACAUAACAUAAAGGUUUAUUACAGCACAUAGUUCAACGCCUCACUACUCCAUAUUGUUGUCAGUGCACCAUUUCUUGAAGUAACCCAACCUAAGCUCAGGAGUUAACUGGCCACAAAAGAACUCCCUUUGGUACUCUGUUGCAAACAACUUUGACAUAGCAUACACGUUGUCCACGGUUUUCUCAACGCCACACUCAAAUGCAAGCUCCUGACACAUCUUGACAGAAAAUGCAGCCUUCUCAUUUGCACGUUUCUGUAUUUGCUUAGUGUUCGCUGCAACAGACUCUUUGAAAGUACUGGCUAUCUCCUUCACAAUCUUGACCAUUGGGCUCUUGGUCCUCUUCACUGGACUGGUCAAAGUGCUUGUAGUGCUGCUGAAUGCCCUCUUGCCUUUCUGGCUCCUCUGACUGCUUCUAGUAGUAGGUGUUCCUUCAAACCCUUCCUCUUCAUUUUCUGUUCCUGCAUCUUGGCCCUCAUUGUCACCAUAAUCAUCUCCAGGAACAAAGGCUGUGGUUCCAUCCACAGUGUAGCCUCUGAAUAGUUCAUCAAGCAAAUCCUCGUUUCCUGGAGGGCUGGUCAACAACUUCUUUAGGUAAGGUUUUUUCUGUUAAGAUAUGAGAGCAAAAAAACAUGAUCAGAAACUAGUUCAGUAGAUUUUGCACAAUACACAUUUUACAAGGAAACACUAUACCUCUGUGUGUGUUUGCCAGAAAUCAUGAUCCGCAUCAAUAGAUCCAUCUGGUUUCCUCCCCAACCCUGUGUGCACUUGCAAGUACCGCCAGAAGGCAUGGGUGUUUCUGAGCACGCCUAUUUGGUUCUUCACUUGUCCACGGCUGUACACCAAACCCCUUCUAGCAAGUAAGCCAUCGACAACAGCUUGGUACCCUUCACCACUCAUUUGUGAACCAGUGUACGUUCCUGCUCUGCGUUGCUCUAUACACAAUUCUAACAAGCAAGCAUUAUUUGCAUCAUUCCAUUGGGCUCGACUGGAGUGGCUCACCGGAGGACCGCCGGAGCUCCCUAACUCCUCCCCAUCAUCCUCCAUAGCUGCAUCAUGGUUGAAGAAGGGAGUGCUGGAGGCAGUUGGUUGCCCACGGACGGCGCGAGUGCUCGUUGUGGUGCUCGGUGCCCUCGUUCCUCGGGGGCGAGGUCCGCUGGGGAUGCGUUGGCCGGUGCUGCCACGGGGCACCGUGUUGGCGCGCUGGGGACGCCGGCCUGGUGUUGCGGAGGCCGAGUUGGCGCGCUGCCGAACGACGCCGCCCGCCGAGGUUCCGCAUCCGCGACCGGCUGCCGCCGAGGAGGAGCCACCAAAUUGCAGUUGACGGGCGUAGGGUGCUGCCGGAGUCGCCGUCCUGUCUCCUGCUCCGACGCGUGGUGGGCGAUAUGGAGGGAGCCCGGUGCCCCUGACGCGGACAGGGGUGAGGUCGCUGUCGUCGCGGAGGAUGUCACCGUACAGCUGAAGCCCCGGAAAAUCCUCCUCCGCCGGCACUUGCGAGUUCAGGUCAAAGGCGUCGUGGCUAGACGACCUUCCCGGAACUUGCGAGCACCAGGAGAAGUCGUCUCCGUCCAUGGCGCACUUCUCCUGCAUAGAAGAGGCGACUGUUAGUACGAGCAGAGAGGGCGAGCAGGGUACGCGGCGAGGGCGACCAGGAGGAUGAGCAGAGAUGGCGCGGUCGAACCUCGGCGGGGGAACAGAGCUGCUGGCGGCGGCGACCAAGAAGAGGAUUAGGUUUUCCAGUGGCUGGUGGCGGCGGCCAAGAAGCUCGCGUGCGGCGUGCGGCCAGGAAGGGGAUCAGGUGUGGGCUGGAUGAGAACUAGCCCAAAUAAUCACCCCUUUGGAGGGAUAGUUUUUUUUAUGGGCUAGUUGCAAAAAAAAACUAACUCUAGCCCUCCUGUUUGGCUACUAUGGGCUAGUUGAGCCCAAACUAGCUCUUUCCCUAAGAUCCAAACAGGGCCAAUGACGAGGAGCUAGGGAAGCUGCUGGCCAGCGUCACCAUCGUGUACGGCGUGCUGGUGCCCAAGAAGAUGGAGAAAGGUGGUGGCGUCGGUGAUGGUUGUGGCCGUGUGAGCAGCUGUGAACGCGGUGGCAGAGCUCGAGCACGGCAAUGGCGAGUCGAGUGCGACGGCCUCACAGAGUAGCGUGGAGCGCCACCGCAGGCGGCACCGUGGCCGCGGCCGCGAGUCCCCGGUCACGCUCAUGGCUGACCACGAUGCGCUCCUCCGUUGAGGCAAAGCGCGCGGCCGCGGGCGCUCCGCCUCGCGUACACGCCGUGUAUUCCUGUACGCAUACGUGGCUUACAGCAGGGCCAUAUACACAAGAGGAGUAGAAAAUAGUAUAUGGAUUGAAGGAAAUAUAAAACUAUAAUAGCAUUUUUUUAAACAGUAUUCCUAUGUGUCAACCGCCGGUUAAUUUGGGAACGUCUCUCAACUGUUUUUUAGCCGUCGGAUGGCGUCUGAUCCGUUUACUCGAGCGAACCGCGUAGUUCCAAGAAUCUUGAGGGAGAUGGCGUUUACAAUUUGGGAUGGCGGAGUUUUUUUUUUUUUAACCGUGUCUAUGUCAAAACGAUAUUUUGAGGGAGUUGUUCCCUGGCCAACUAAAACACCUUUUGUCGUUUUAGAUAACGCCAGAUUGAACGUGUUCAUGUCCAUCGUGCGCAGAUGAUAAUCACCUCCACCUACCGGCGCGAGCAGUAGCCAGUUCGUGUUCCACGGACCACGAGUACGUGGCUACGCGCUGCCGCUGCAUGGCCUGGAACUGUAGCCCAUACUGAUCAAUCAAUGAAUUAGCAAGUGGCUCGAUAAAUUACUCCAUCCCUACUCGAAUAAUUCCAUAAUUUUAGAGUUAGCGUAAGUUAAACAUUUUUCAUUUCAAUCAAAUUUAUAUAAAAGGUUCCUAAGACUUACUCCCUCCAAUCCUAAAUAUCUGUCGCUAUUAGUGUGAGUAUCACAAGUUUAACUCGAUUGGUAAAAAAUACGUACAAUAUUUAUAUAUUUAAAUAAAUUUAUUAAAAACUAGAUUUAAAGAUCUUUUAAAUGCUAUUAAUUAUGUACCAUACUCCCUCCGUCUCUGAAUACUGCUUUUUCUAGGAGAAAAUUUUGUCCACAUAUACUGCUAUUUCUACUAGCAUACUCGGUCCACCAGCCCAUUUAAUUUCUCCUCGGAACUUUCGUGGUCCACCAACCCAUUUAAUUUCUUCUAGUGAGUAGUACUUUGGUGCAUGUUAAUUGUUUGAGUCUGUUUAGUUGGCAUUAAAUGCAGCUCGUUGGAACCAGAGAACCAUGGCUUAACGUGCAUGAUUAAAUGGUGGAACCCAAAUUAAUUGAGGGUAGAAUGGUCUUCUGAAAUAUGCUAGAAAUAGCAGUAUUUGGGGAUGGAGGCAAUACUAAAUAUUAAUAUUUUUUUAAUAUAUUUAGUCAAGGUUAUUUCUUGAGAAGCGCAAACGAUAGAUAUUUAGGGACAUGGGAAGUAUGAUACGAAAUCAUCAUAAAAUAUAUUUUUUUGUAAUAGGCUUAUUUGGUGCCAUAGAGAUUUGUGCUUGUUUAUAAAUUUGAUCACCAUAAAGCUAGCUUUAUAAACUGAUAUUUAGAGACAAAGGGAGCAUUGCUAACGCUAAAUCCGGUCACACCUAGCAAGGGCAGGUUCACUCACAGCACGCGCCACCGAUAAACGUGGUGGAGGUAGUCGGUCGGGUUUCACCAGGAUGUCAUGCAUAUUUAUUAUAACGUAAUGUCACCAAAAUUGCACUUUUUGCAUGAAACAAAGAGGAGAGAGAAGGAAGUAGUUUCACCAAUCACCAUGGUGAAACUCCGCAGGCGUUGUUUCCCACGCGGUGAAAUGAGAUGAAAUCUCCACUGAGGGCUAAAUCGUUUCACCAUCUUGCAUGUGAUCUAAUCAUUUUGCAGUAAUUAAUGCUUUGCCCAGCCUAGGAAACGUCAAGGUAAAACUCAUGCAUUGUGGAGGUUGUUUCAUUAUUCGUUUUAUUGAUGUCUUGUCAGUGGAUUUGUUUUGGAAACAGUGCAUUGAAACGAGCCACUGAGAAUGGCCUAAACUAACAAGGCCGUCUAGAGGUCGGUGAGGCCAAUUUGACACCAUUUUUUUGUCAAGGCCUAGUUUAGAUUUAAAUUUUUUUUGGAUUUUAACACUAUAGCACUUUUGUUUGUAUUUAACAAUUAUUGUCCAACUAUGAACUAACUAGACUCAAAAGAUUUCUCUCGCACUUUCUAACCUAACUAUGAAUUAGUUAUUUUUUUAAUCUAUAUUUAGUGCUCCAUAUAUGUGCCGCAAGAUUCAUGUGACGGGAAAUCUUGAAAAGUUUUUGAAGACUUCCCCGUCACAUCGAAUCUUGCGGCACAUGCAUGAGCAUUAAAUAUAGAUAAAAAUAAAAAUUAAUUGCACAGUUUGUCUGUAAAUCACGAGACGAAUCUUUUAAGUCUAGUUACUCUAUGAUUAGACAAUAUUUGUCAAAUAAAAACGAAAGUACUAUAAUAUUGUCAAAAUUAAAAAAAAAGAUCUAAAUGAGGCCUAAAAACAUGAUGGGGAGCGAGGUCGUCACCAAUAAGAUAAGAUUCGCGCGUCAUUAUUGUAUUAUUAUAGUGUACUGUACUUCCACUUCCAUACUUCCCCUUCCAGUAGUACUCUCUCCUUAUACGAUUUAAAUGUCAUUUAGAACAUUGACAUGGUCUUCAAAACAUAACUCUAAUCUCUUAUUUUUAUAAAAAUAUUUAGGAACAAAUAAUAUAGGUAUACUUUUAUAAAAAUAUUUUUCAAGAUAAAUCUAUUUAUAUAAUUUUUACAUUUGCAAACUCAAAAAUUUAAAAGUUAUUGAUGAAUUUGACUCAAACUUUGUCUAAAACGAUAUCUAAAUCCUAUAUAUAGAAGAAGUACGUAGUAGCUUACCUGAAGAUAUCAUUGUUGUCAGGCGGAAAUAAUUAACGACCUAGCAGUGGGUCUUGAUUACGUGCUUAAUUUAUAAGCACAGACAAAAGACAACCGAUCAGAGCUAGCACAUGCACAUGCAAUCCAUCGUAGAUUGACGUGUUUGGCUAGGUUUUCCCCCCUAAUUUUGUCUUCAUACAUGAUCGAUAUAUAUAAAUAUAUAGGGUUUUUUUGAACGGUGCCAUUACAAUUUCAAAGUAUUUGAAAUAUGCCAUUAUAAUUCAGGUAUCCUGAAGCGGACCAUUACAAUUCUUGCAAAAUUUGAAAUAUGCCAUUGGAUACGGUAGAACGACGCUUGGGCCUGCUUGCAAGCCGACGUGGCAUACGGUCGACCGUAUGCGCCCGUCGCCGUGAGCCAUCUAAACGGCGCGGCAAAAAACGCCGUCUCCACCCCGCCCCUGACUCAUUCUCGCUCUCCACCUCUCUCUCUCUCUCUCGAGCGUAACCCUAGGCGCGGCGGCGGCGGCGAUUCCGGUGCCACGAUCCCGACGGCGGCGCAGCAGAUGAAGAUGGCCUCGAGCUCUUCCGCUGCUGGCAGUAGAAGGGUGCAGUGCCCCCUACUGAACUGCCCAGUGUGCAAUGUUCCUUUGAUCCGAAUCGUGAGCAAGCAAGAGCACUCAAAGGAUGUCGCAUUCAUCAAGUGCCCAAACAACGUAAAGGUAACGAUUUGCAUUGUUUAUGCCCUUGAAUGUGCUGCCUUUGUUUUCAAUUUGACUGGUGUUGCUUGCACAGGGUGAUCCAACAACUUGUGGCUGGAUUCGUUCGGAGGAGCAGUACGAGGCAUGGUUUAUGAAGCAAAAGGAGAAAGAGAUUCAGCUGCAGUUGCCCCUUCAUUCAGCAGUUGGGGAUCCUAAUGAUGAUUUGAAUCAACGGGUCAAGGAGAUGAAGCAAACUCUAGAUAGAGUUGUCAAUGAACUUGAGAAAAUGAAGGUGCAACUUGGAGACAGAGAUGUUGUUGCUGUUCCUAGUCAAGUUAGUAAUCAGAGUCCAGCACUGGACUUGGACAGGAAGGGGAAAAUGCAAAUUGUGUUGGAUGUAUCUGUUGUUGUAGGUGUCCUUGUGGGUGUACUGCUAGGUGUAGGUUUUUCUCAGAUGAUGAAGUGACUGUAAUUAUGUGUAUUUGCAAUGAAAGAACAAGCAUUUUGUCACUGAGUUUCUUCGAUGAGUAUGAUCAGCAUUGUCCUAUGCCUUUUGUCACUGAAAAUAGAUUAGAAUUUCAGCUUCAAAAUAGAUUAGGAUUUCUGCAGCAGUUUGUCUUGUUUUCUUAACAUUUUAAGUAGAGUUCACAUGAUAAUUGACACAAGACAGAAGAGUACAAACUAACAUAAGUAGAGUUCACAUGAUUGAAAAUAGUUGGCAAGUUCUAAUGCCUCAUUACAUAGUAGCAGCAUCAGCCAUACAAGUUCCAAGUUGGCAUUCUAAUGCCUCAUUACAUAGUAAGGUUCAGAACAAAGCCAUAUAAGUCGAGCAUCAUAGAUCAGCAUCCUGUGGAGCAUCAUAGAUCAGGUGCCUGAUGCUGCUGAUAACAGCCUUCCCAGGUGCAGCUGCUUCCCUCUGCAGCUUUGUUUUCUUUGGUGUCUUCUUCUUCUUCUUAGUUGUAACCUUCUUCAGAGGCUUGGUCUUCUUCACCUGGGAAGGUCCAGCAUCAUCCUGUGUUGGUACUUCCUGCGUUGGAGCUUCCUGUGAUGACACUUGCUGAGUCGGCCUCUUUCUGCGUUGAGAUGACAGUAGCCGGUUAGAUCUUAGUACAUAGGAAAAAAAUAAUAAAAUGGUUAGACAAUAUUUUUAAUACCUUUUUGAAGACCCUUGUCCUCUUUCUCCAUCUUCACCUAGUUCUGGCAACUUGCAGGUCUUGGAAAAAUGUCCAAAGUCACCACAUCUCUUGCACCUAACUUUCUUCUUCGUGGCCCUCUGCUCAAAAGUCCCUCUAAUUCUUACAACCCUUGGCCUUCCUGGACCUCUGCCUAGCAAUGAAGGAUACACUUUAAAACCAAGGUUGACAACAGGCCAUUCAUCGUUGUCUGGGAUAGGCUCAAUCCUAUCAGCAUAAGCUGCCUUAAAUCUAGCAACUGAAUAGUACUCAUGUACAUAAUCCUCAAUUCUCAUCCCUGGGAUUGACAGUAUCCAAGCCAAAGCAUGCUUACAUGGCUUUCCAGUCACUUGCCACUGCCUGCAGGAACAAUUGUGGUUUCCUAGGUCCACAGUGUGCCUCCUUUGCUUCUCCCACUCCAGGAUUGUAACUUCAGCAGUGUUAUCAUCACUGACUUUGACCUUGACUACAUUGAGUUGAGUACUGAUCAGGUUGAGAUCCUUCAUCACAUUUGGGAGGAUUCCAUCUUCCCACUGCCUAGCAACUUUCUUCCUCAAAUAUCUCUUCUCCAUUAUAAGCUCUCUAAUUCUGUCUACCAGUUCAUGUAAUAAUAAACCUUUGAGGUGCUUCACCUGUGCAUUGAAGCUUUAUGACACAUUGUUGGUCAAAUAAUCACACUUGCUACUUUCUGAGAACCCACACCUGUACCAUAUCCUGCUGUGGUAAUUCUCAAUAUAUUCUAUAGCUUGAGGAGCAUACUCAUGAAUCUGAUUCAUGUGCCACUGGAAUUUUUCUUGAGUGUAACUUCUAGCUGCAGGAUAAAGGUGGUCUGUGAAUACAUCACCAGAAUAGUGCUUCAGAAAGUUUUGGUACAUAUGUCUCAUGCAUUCCCUAUUCUCAGCUGUUGGAAAAGCUGUACCCACUGCAUUCUCCAGGCCUUUGCAUGCAUCUGUACAAACUACAAGAUUUGGGACAGGCCCAAUUGCUCUACUAAGAAGUUGCAAGAACCAUGUCCAAUUGUCUUCAUUUUCUAUGUCAAAAAUGUCAUAAGCUACAUGAUACAACCAAUUAUGUCCAUCUACACUGGUUGCUGAAGCUAGCUGACCUCUAUACUUUCCAUUCAAACAAGAUGCAUCUAUACCCAAAAAAGGCCUACAACCAGCCAAGAAUCCAUCUACACAAGGCUUUAGAGCAACAAACAUUCUUUUGAAUCUGUUCUUCUUACCAAUUUUGUCAACCUCUACCACUACAGUGCUACCAGGAGAUACCUUUUCAAUUUGAGCACCCCAAUUGAAUAGCAGUUGAAAACUUUCCUCAUAUUUACCAUGGAUUUGAUCCAAUGCGCACUGCAUACCUGACCAAGCCUUUGAAUACUUCAGCUUGAUGCCAUAAUCAUCUUCCAACUUCUCCCUGCACUCUUUUGCACGUUUUGUUGGAUGUUUUUUUAUCCAAUCUGCCAGCCUAUCUACACACCAGGACUGUGAUGCCAUCUUCCCUUCUACUAGUUUUUGACUUGCACAAUUAUAAUCUGCAGGCAGUACUUUGAUCUGUGCAUACGAAACAUGUCAGGUAAAAAAAAUAAAACUUGCACAAAGGAACUAGUGGAUAGACAGUUACCUGUAUUGUCUUUCUACCCUACAGCCUAGAUGCAUGUAUGCGCCAAGGACAUCCCUCGGAUUUGCACUUUGCAAUAAAUCUUGAUGGGUCUGUUUUGAUACCAGCUAACACAUAGCCUUUAGUAACGGAGAAAUGCCUGAUAGCUUUCCUGAAUGAAACAAUAUUAGGAAAUAACUCCCCCUUUACAAUCUUGGGAUGUUCUGGGUCAUGAAUGAUAUUGAUCUCUUCAGGGUCUGCAUCAGUGACCUCUGCCUCAACAGGAAAAGCAUCAGCAUCAGCAUUUUCAGCAUCAUGAGAAGCAUGUGGAGGUGAAUUACUAGGAGGCUGUGUUGGUGGUGUUGGCAUGUACAUGCCCUCAUCAUCACAACCCACAUACUCCUCAUCGUUAUCAAACAUAUCAGGUUCCCUAUCAGGCUCAAGUUGAGUCUCAACUUCAGCCUCUGGUGCAACAUCUGCCUCAAAUGUGGGUUGGUUAACAUAACUGUCAGUACUGGCUGGGUUGCCAGUGCUAGUGUCAGGAGGAAGAUCUAGUUCAUCAAAUUGAUCAAUAGUGGGAACAGACUGAUCAAAUACCCCUACGACAAUGUGGCAAUGCAUCUCCUCCUUAUACAUCUCAAACAUAUCAUUAAUCUGGAAUUGAUUUUCUAGCAUGACAUCUUGAGACAACCUUUUAUCAUAGAACCAAGCAACUGGGCACUGAGUAGUAGAGCAAUUGACAGCAUUGCGCAAGCUGGCCAUCAGUACAUCAAAUGAAAACGAGCCAAUCUCCACAUCCCACUUAAUUACAGAGCCCUUUGUGUAAGCUUUCCUACCCAAAGAGUCUCUCCAACAGAAUGCUUCCACUUUAAUUUCUAAAGAAAAUAGCGGAACCCUAGCAUCAACCAAAUCACAUCAAUAUCUAAUGCCAAUCAACAGAUUAAGACCUAAUGCACUCGUAUUCGUGCUCUGGAAGGACAAAACAUUACCUUUCGUUGCUAUCCCCCAUCCGCGGCGCCCUGCGCUGCGCCCUGCGCGGGGGCACGUCUGCCAUGGACAUGCGCCCCUAUUCCAUUGCCUCCCCCUGCGCCGCCGUCGGGAUCGUGGCACCGGAAUCGCCGCCGCCGCCGCCGCCGCCGCGCCUAGGGUUACGCUCGAGAGAGACAGAGAGGUGGAGAGCGAGAAUGAGUCAGGGGCGGGGUGGAGACGGCGUUUUUUGCCGCGCCGUUUAGAUGGCUCACGGCGACGGGCACAUACGGUCGACCGUAUGCCACGUCGGCUUGCAAGCAGGCCCAAGCGUCGUUCUACCGUAUCCAAUGGCAUAUUUCAAAUUUUGCAAGAAUUGUAAUGGUCCGCUUCAGGAUACCUGAAUUAUAAUGGCAUAUUUCAAAUACUUUGAAAUUGUAAUGGCACCGUUCAAAAAAACCCAAAUAUAUACUUCCUCUGUCCCUUUUAUUUGUCGUCAGUGGUAUGCGUAUUAUAAAUUUGACUCGAUUAGUAGAAAAUACAUAUAAUAUUUAUAUCUUUAAAUAAAUUUAUUAAAAAACGAGAUCUAAAGGUCUUUCCAACGAUAUUACUUGUGUACUAUAAAUAUUGUAUAUUGAGAGUUGGCCUGGAGCAGUUGACUGUAGGGAAAAAAAAUGAAUUGCAAAUUGCAUUGUCCUAGCUAGCGUCCAUCUUUGAUUAUCCUUGCACAGAAGGUAAAUGAAUUGCAAAUUGCAUGGUCCUAGCUAGCGUCAAUCUUUGAUUAUCCGUGCACAGGUGAGAGGAUUUUUUUUUAAAAGCCUCUAGUCUGAAUAUAGAUAUAGAAUCUGCACUACUAUCUACGCUUCUAGCAAAAUUCGAACUCGUGAACGGUGGCCUCCACAGCUGGAGCGCUCACCAACCGAGGUACGGCUCGGUCCCCAGAAGGUUUGAGGAGCCAUUUUUCCAUGCGACGCACAAGUAGUACGCCCAUGUGUCCACCUCAAUAAUUUGCCGGACACGUCCGCUAGGCCGCUGGGUUGCAUUGCAUCGCAUCGCAUUGCAUGCCGCGGCAAGAUCCACGUUCCCGCGUACUACACGGUUUGUUCGAGACAUCCACAUCCACAUCCACAUCCUACCCCACAACGCGAUGAACAGGAACAGACAUGGGUGCUUGGUCCCCAUCUGCAAAUGCUCUGUACGUAUACCAGCUCGGCAACGCGCGAACCACGUGGAACGUGAACAGUAAACCAAGAACAGAAAAAGUGACCGAGCAGCGUUGCACAGUAUCCGCACACUGCUGAAUAGUGUUGGCAACGUGUCAACAGUGUGAUGAAUUAUGCUUAACAGUGCUUUGGUGCGCUGAGAGAGCAAGGAUUUAGGCCUGGUUUAGAUGAUUUUUUUUCUUAAUCUUGACACCGUGACACUUGUGUUUGCAUUUGAUAAUUAUUGUUCAACUAUAAACUAACUAGACUUAAAAGAUCGGUCUCGCAAAUUAUAAGUAAAUUGUAUAAUUAUUUUUUUAUCUAUAUUUACUGUUCCAUAUAUAUGCUAUAGUAUUUGAUGGGAUAGAGAAACUUGAAUUUUUUUUUGAUUUUUGGUUGAAGUGAACAAUGCGUUGUACUGCUUCCUUUUUAACUAGAUAUAAAUAUUGUCCAAUCAUGAAUUAAUUAGGAUCAAAAGAUUCAUCUCGUGAUUUAUAGAUAAACUAUACAAUUAGUUUUUAUUUUUUUUAUAUUUAAUGCUUCAUGCAUAUACAAUAAGAUUUGAUAUGAUGGAAAAACUUUAAAAAAAUUGGUUUUAAGGUACUGAACAAGGCAAGAUUGACGUCACAUGGUGGUCCAACAGACGUGUAUCACGCCGUAUCGGCCUCGUUUAAUUUCAAAAAAAAUUAAAUUUUUUGUUGCAUCAAAUCUUUAGACAUAUAUAUAAAGCAUGAAAUACAAACGAAAAUAAAAACUAAUUAUGCAGUUUAUCUGUAAUUUGUGAGACGAAUUUUUUAAACCUAAUUUAUCCAUAAUUAAAUAAUAAUUAUUAAAUACAAACAAAAUACUACCCUAGCCAAAACCAAUAAUUUUUACGAACUUGUUUCUUUUAGCAAGGCACACUAUAUCGAUCUACCUAUCAGCCGGGGACCGGGGUGUCUUGGCAUUGCCUAUUUGGAUCUUGUGGCAUCGCAUAUUUUUGCAGGCUUUUUAUUUGCAAACAGACACUUAAAUCGGGGGUAAUAUGAAAGUACAACAACAUCACCUUGCAUUGCAUUAUUGGCGGGGUUUUCUUAGGCUCGCCAUCAACAUUAUUAGGAUCAAGGGUUAUCAUCACACUUCAUGAAUUUUUUAUACCCCGAUGCUUUGAACUCAUCUGGACACGCUUCCAAGUUUUCGCACUCUCAUCGAGAUCGACGGUACAAUUAUCAUGUCAUGCAUCUAAAGCCAAAGGCCGUACUCUCAUUGAGGUAGACGGCAACAUUAUCAUGUGACAUGCAUCUAAAGCCAAAGGACAAAUGAUGAGUAUGUAUGUCGCACGAGGUUCAUGCAUGGGAGCAUCUUCUUUAUGAGAGGCAAAGACGUUCAUGCAUGGUAUCCAAUCGUCUUGUCACGGCUAAGGCCGUGUUUAUAUUGAAGAUGAAAAUUUUUUGGGUGUCACAUUAUCGGAAGAAUGUCGAGAGAGGUUUUUAGAUACUAAUAAAAAAACAAAUUACAUAGCUCGUCAGGAAACUGCAAGACAAAUCUAUUAAUUAUGUAUAAUUAAUCUGUCAUUAGCACAUGUGGGUUACUGUAGCACUUAACGCUAAUCAUGGAGUAACUAGGCUUAAAAGAUUCGUCUCACGAUUUUCAACCAAACUGUGUAAUUAGUUUAUUUUUUAUGUACAUUUAAUGUUUCAUGCAUGUGUCCAAAGAUUCGAUAGGAUGGAUGAAAAAUUUUUGAGCAGUGAACUAAAUAGGGCCUAAAAAAAGUUUUACUACAGCAACUCUAAGAGACUGGAGUAUUUAUGUUUUUCUUAAUUUAUAGGAGUACUCUCUCCGUCCACAAAUAAGUGUACGUUUCGUUCUCGAAGAGUUAAACUUUUUUAAGUUUGACCAAAUAUAUACAAAAACAAACUAAUAUUUUAUUAUAUAUAAUAUGUAUCAACAGAUUGAGCGUGAAAUAUACUUUCAUAAUAUACUUAUUUGUAGAUACAACUAUUGAUAUUAUUUGAUAUAUUUCUAGUCAAACUUUAAAAAGUUUGACAUCUCGAGAAGCGAGAUGUGUAUUUAUUUGUGAACGGAGGAAGUAGAAAUUUUGGUCAAAAAAAUAUCCUUCAAUAACCUAUAUAAUUAGAUCUCCAAAUAGAGACAAUCUCUUUUCCGAAAUUCUCGCUAGCCAAAGAUAAAGAGUAAGGAUAACUCAGAGUGUGCACAAUAUAUAGAAAAGUUAUUGGAGGCCAGGUACAGAGAUAUAUAGAAAAUAAUUUUUACUUAAAUGGCUCUUUAAAUAAUAAUUUAGAAAGUAAUUUUUACAAAUACUCUUGGAGAUACUCUCAGAGGCAGCUAGAUUGGAUUUACACUGCUUUGCCUGACUGUAUUUGUAUGUUUCUAAAAAUCAGCAAUUUCUAUCUCUGGAAAUCGAUUUGUACAAGAAAGGCAAAACCCGCUGCCCCUAGAGAUCAAAAUAUAGAGGCAAAUUGUUGGAUGAAAUCCUAACCGCCCCUAGAGAUUGGAAUCUAGAGGCCGGCAUGCGAAUGCAUGGGAUCAAACUCAAGACCUUAAGCUUUCUUCCUUAUCACUCCACCCCCAAAGUUAUUUCACUUGUGAUCUAAUGAUUGAUCCAUGUUUUUAUUCACUUUAGUGAGUAUUAUAAUUAAUAUUUUAGAGACCAUAAAUGAAAUCGAAAAAGUUUGAACCCAAAAGUUUUAGAUCUCGUGAAGUACUACAACUUUGCUUUAGGUCAUCUUUUUAUCGAAGUCGUUUGAAAAAAUAAAGAAUAUGAAUUUAAAAAUUAAAACAAAAUUUACAUAUCCUAAACAAUUUGAAAUGGAAAAAGUCAUCAAUUAAUAAAGUUUUCUUUACCUGACUUGAUUUGGAAAAAUUAUGAAUUCUAUUGUGUUGUACUAGUUUUUAGAGGCAGACUAAAUUGCCAACCUUCUCUAGAAAUCCAAUUCUAGAGACAGGUGGAAUUUUCAGCCAUCUAGAAAUGACUAAAUUUUUAAAGAAUGUGUCUAGAAAGCUCAAUUGCCUCUAAAAAUGGUCAUUUGAGGUGGUUGGAGUCCAACCACUUGUAACAAUUGAUUUUUAGGGAGACGGAUUGGCUCAAAAACUAUUUUUCAACAUGGUUCUUAAUAAUCUCCAACUAACAAGAAAGGGGCCUUCAAAAACAAUUUCUACAGUAGCGCGUCCACCUUCAACUGCUAAUAAGAAAUUAGACAUCCGACGUGUUUACGAAGAAGAUAAGAUUCGCGCGUCAUAUUACAUUAUUGGUACAGCAUUAUCUUACUGUUACGUACUCAUCUCGCCAAAUAAUUAACGAGUAGUGGCUCACGUUUGAAAGAUCUUCAGUCUUCAGUUCAGAUGGUCAGGCGGAAAAUAUUGACGGCCAAGCCCAAAGGGUCUUGAUUACGUGUUCAAUCCAGCGUUUAGACAAACGCAAUCCUAGCUAGUGCAGCACGUCGAUCUGUGGCGCGGCGUCCGGCCAGUGGUUUUUAUAUAUAUCGAAUCUCGUCUUCCAUCCCUAAAUCAACUGAUGCUAUGAUGGAUUGAUUGACGACUUGACUUGCAGGAAAAAAUGAACUGAUUGUCCUAGAGCUAGCGCCAAACUUUGGAUAGAUUCUCUGUUUUGCACGGUAGGUGAGGAACUGGACUGGACGUGCUUAUUGCCAUUUUUCCAAUGCGACGCACGAGUUCUGUGCUGUGCUGGGACGUACGCCCAAGUCUUUAUCUCCACACACGUACUCUGGACACGUCCAUUAGUGGUUGCUGCCAUGCAUGCAUGCAUGUCGCGGCAAGAUCCACGUUCCCGUGUGUACGAUCGUUCGAAAUGUUCCACGUCCUAGGCCUACCGCGAUGAAUGGGAAAUGUAGGGGCAACCCGAGAGACACAUGGGUGCCAUAUAUGCCCUUUUUUUUUAAUGAAACUGGAGGGGCCAAAGCCCCUACAGGUCUUUAUUGAAGAUAAUAAACAGAGGGUACAGAGUUAACCAAAAAAAACACAACGAAAAACUGAAAAGAAAACUGAAACUAAAAAAAGAGAGUUAAAAGACAAAGAAAGAAGCCAUAUAUGCCCAUUCGGUCUCGUCUGGGUCUCUGGGAUGUGUAUUUGGUUAAACCGAGAACUGAUCGGUGUGGUUUCUCAGUAUAUAUAUUUUGUUUGUAAUAUGAUUCGAUUAACCAAAAAUGAAGUCCGCCUUAAAUUUGUGUGCAUAAAGCAUUUGGAGACUGAUCGGUGAGGUAGUACCGAUGAACGCACCAAAAGAUCGAUCAACACAAAUCAGAAAAAAAAUUUAAGCACAAAAUUGGCAGGGAUCCACAAAAAUUACAUUAAAGAUCAAUACUAAUAAUUUGUGCACAAAUCAAUAUAGAUUUGUAUGAUUGAGUUUGUGUGUGGUUCAGCUUCUGAAAAGCGUUUCUACUACCAAAAAGCAGAAACCCAACCAAAUAGGUGGAACUAGAAGUUGGUUUUACAAAAGCAGAAUCCAUUUGUGUAGUAUAACUUUCGCAGCACCUUAGACCCUGUUUUUGGCUUUUGGCCUUUUGCUUUUCAAAAUGGUGGAAAUAGAAAGAUAUUUCAUGGUUGUUUCAAGGGAUAGAAAGAGAGGGUAAGUUUAAUAGUUGUUUUAACCAAACAUCUGAUCGCCACAAAGCUGACAACUUUUUCAUAACUCAUAGCUCACAAUAGUUUUUCCACAACUCACGGCUGAACCAAACAUAGCAAAGUCAAAGAAGAGGUUAGCCGCGACUGCCCUUGCCCCUUGCGACAGCCAUGGUUGUUUCUAAACCAUAAAUUACAAAACAUAUUUAAAUAACCAUAAAUUAUGUAUAAAUAGAUGUUUUUGAACCACACACCUAUCCUAUCCUAUCCUAUCCUAUACUCUUAUAAAGGAAAACUCCACUACCAUAUUUCUCUAUGAUUUUAUAAAGCCACGUCAUCAUGGGGGCCCUACCAAUUUUCUUAAGCCAUAUCACCCGAUGGCCACCACCCUCUUAUUCUUAUCCCAGUACUCACGCAAAGGCUUUAGCAAGCCUGCACGAGGCCAACAAUCAUUUGCCUCCUCUAUUCCUUCAGAACACGAAGUGGACAGGCAUUACAACAAUCGAGUCAUGUCCACUGAAUGUAGCAUGCACCCCUACAUCUUCCCUGCCAUCACUGCUCAUCUGUUAAGUGAUCGUAUAUACAAUUAACCCCAAGUAAGGACGAGUCCUCGCCAAACUUACCACCACUUCCUCCCAGUUCGAUUCAGAUCUUGAUAGCUUCAAUUGGUUCUCUCCUGUGGCAUCGGCAAUCAUCCCGCGCGGACGUCCUCUGGAUGCCGCGGUCAGUGCUGAUGCAGAGGUAGCCGGGGAAUUCACCAUUGCAUCAUGCGGCCAUGGAGGAGCAGUCCCGCCCAUCCACCUCCGUGCAGUGUGAUGCCCGAGAUGGCCACGAUGGAGGCACGUCGAGGUGCUCCAACUCAGAGGUGUGCAUGCUAUUGCACUCAGUGACUGCCUGUAACCUCUCGCGCUGACCGGCGCUGAUGCGCGCAAUGCUCCUGCAGGCCGCCACUGCUGCCGUUCUUGCCUGUGUCCUCCAUGCACCGCCCACAGGUGCAGCCCACUCAUCUCUGUGCUGUGUAUUAACUCGCAAUAUAUACUCUCAUCCACACGUUAGUGACCCUGUUCUCUUUUGAUGAAGUUAAAGAUUGAAGAUCAGAGUGGUGCCUCUCUGCUGUUUUGCGAGCUAGAGUGAUGCCUUUUAUUUAGUUCAUUUACGAUGGACUACUGAUGCAUAUUUAAAUCAAAUAUUAGUAGUCAUGGUACAAAUAUAUCCCCCUUGGUCCGACAUUUAAUUUAAGUUCAUAUAGUUUUUUGUCUUUAGUCACCGCUGACAAAUUUUUUAUAAAUUUGUUCUCUACUUAUAUCGCAUAAUAUAAUUAUUUAUAUACCAUCGCAAUUCCUUACACUUUAUUUCUCCUAACUCAAUUCAAAUAACUUUUGCAUUUCCGCAGCAACACGCAGGAGAGUUCACCUAGUAUUAAUAUGUUAAAAACUAACUAAGAAGACGAUGAUAUUCCUAGUGCUUGAUAUUCAUUUGGAGUAAGUAAUGAUUAUAAGGCUCAAAUUACUCCAUCCUAGAUUCACUGUAAGCUUUAUCACGAUCUUGACCAACAUGGUACAUGUUUCGAUGACCUUGAUGCCAUGGUACUAUUUAAGAGCACAUGGUCUAGAGCCUAAAAUCUUUUAAUUUUAUAGAAUACAAAAAAGAGAGUUAAUAAAAAAAAUAUACUUAUCACAAAUGUUUUAACUUAAUUCAUCAUAAAAUUUUUUUGAUCCCGUACAACUUAGAUGCACACAACCCACACACUCACAACACAUGGGUACUCUGCUUUUUAUGGAAAAAAAAAUCAGGAAGCACUCUAGCCUCCAGUGUCGAAUGUGCAUGUACCCUACUCUUUAUGGAAAAAAAAUCUAGAAAAUAGAUAUGAACACCAGGGUUUAAACCCUGAUGGGUGUGUCUCACUGGACUGCCCUUACACUAGACCAUAGGCCCAUUCACAUUCGGAUAAAAAUUUGUAGUAAAUAGUAAUAAGAAAAAUAAAAAUGGAUAUCCAUGAUGCUAUGAGAUAUGGAUUGUAACAUGAGCCACCAUAAUUUAAUAUAAGAUUUGAACAAAAUGCACACCGAAGAUACAAGCAAGUGCCAGCAGAGAGAAAAAAAACUACGAAUUUAGAUGAAAAAUAUAAACAAAGAUAAAAGUGUACUCCCUCCGUACCCAUAAAACAAGUCAUUUUGGAUAAGGUUUGGGUCAAACAUUGGGAACGUAAAUCAUAAAUAACUUUUAAGUUAUUGAGUUUGAAAAUAUGAAAACCAUAUGAAUAGAUUUGUCUUCAAAAAUACUUUCAAAAAAUAUAUCUAUACCACUUUUUGAUAAAUAUUUUUAUAAAAACAAGAAGUUAAAGUUAGACUUUGGAGACCGUGUCAUUGUUCAAAACGACUUGUUUUAUGGGUAUGAAGAGAGUAUAUAUUAACGUAAGUAUUUUUAGUUAUAUAUAUUAAACAUGAAUAUAUAUCUAAUGCUUAUGUUAUGACUCAUAAGAUUUAAGUCUGUACUUGUGCACGAGUUGGUAGACUAGAGGGUCCUGAGUUGAUUUUAGGUUCUGCUCCAUUCAAAAAAUAUAAGUUGUUUUGACUUUUAUUGGUUUUGUUUUAUAUUUAGACUUAUGCUGUGUCUAAUGCAUUGUGAACUAUAUGUAUUACUAAAGAAGCCAAAAUAGCUUGUAGUUUACUAUGGAAUAAUUAGCCAAAGUUUUUUUCCACCCACACCAAACCUUGCAAUGGAUACACCAUGUGACCAGGAUACUCGCUUCAUUAUUGGGAAACCAAAAGGAAAUAUUACAAGCAUCCAUGAUAAGGGCUUAUUUAGUUGGGGAGAGAAAAGUUUUUGGAUGUCACAUCGGAUGUUUCGUGGGGUAUCGGAAGGGAUAUUCGGAUACUAAUAAAAAAAUUAAUUAUAUAACUUAUCUGGAAACUGCAAGAUGAAUUUAUUAAGUCUAAUUAAUUCAUCAUUAGGCUAAUCUUGGUCUAACUAGGUUUAAAAGAUUCGUCUCGCGAUUUCCAACCAAACUGUAUAAUUAGUUUAUUUCUAUCUAUAUUUAAUAUGUGUCCAAAUAUUUGAUGGGAUGCAUAAAUUUUUUUGAGUAAAGUCCACCACCGGUCCUUAAACUUGUGCUGUCGUGUCAUCCCGGUCCCUAAACUCACAAAUCGAUUGUUUAGGUCCUCAAACUUGUUCAUCUGUGUCAUCUCGGUCCCUAAACUUGUUCAAUUGUGUCAUCCCGGUCCCUAAACUUAGAAAUCAUCCGUUUAGAUCCUCAAAGUUGUUCAGUUGUGUCAUCUCGGUCCCUAAGCUUGGUUUUGAAUCUCAUCUGGGUCAAAACAAAGCGAUCUAACAACUCUAUAUCAAAAAAUAAUUCAUAACUUUUUCAUAUGAACUCAAAUGAAGACAAAUUUUAUACCAAAGUUAUAGUCCUCAGCACAAUCUACAACUUUGUAGUUGAAAAGUUUUUUGUUUGAAGUCGUUUAGUGUUAUAAAAUUUAAUUUUAAAUUUUAAAUUUUAAAAUCUAUAAACUUAUAAAAAAUAUUUUGGGAACUUAAACGAUUUUAAUUUAAAAACUUUUCAACUGCAAAGUUGUAGAUCAUGUUGCUGCCUACAAUUUUGAUAUAAAGUUUAUAUUCAUUUGAGUUCAUAUAAAAAAGUUAUGAAUUAUUUUUCAAUAUAGAGUUUUUAGAUUCGUCCUGUUUUGACCCAGAUAAGACUUAAAAACAAGUUUAGGGACCGGGAUGACACAACUGAACAAGUUUGAUGACCUAUAUGAGAGAUUUUUAAGUUUAGGGACCAGGAUGACACAACCGAACAAGUUUAGGUACCUAAACGGUCAUUUUGCAAGUUUAAGGACCGGGAUGACACAUCCGAACAAGUUUAGGGACCGCUGAUGGACUUUACUCAAUUUUUUUGAUGGAGAACUAAACAAGGCAUAAGUGGUAAUCGCCAGCACACCAAGGAGUAUGGCACAAUGUUCGUCGCGCACGUAAUUAUGAAUCUUUUAUUUAUUGCAACGCUUCUCAUUCAUGGAUAAAAUGAAACGGAUAACGUACGGGAAUCACCGCUAGCUAUUCCCUGCCUGCAUUCAGGUCAUCAUGCUCUGUCCUCAGGAAUCAGAGAUCAGAUGGAGAUGCUGUUGGGUAUGCCCUUGGCGGUGACGCCGGCGUUGUCGCCCUUCUUGUCGGAGGUGUUGGGGAAGAGCAGCGUGUAGGGGAACUGGGCCUCGCUGUAGCGGUUCUUGUAGCGUGGGUCCUUGUUCAUGGCCUCCACGCGUUUCUCGAUCUCGACCAGCCGCGCCCCGAACCGCCUGAACGCCUCCUGCGCCUUGGCGUCCGACGUCCACUCCUUGGUGUCGCGCUGGCCGAGGUACACCUCGUCGGAGGAGUGGCUGGACAGGAUCUCGAGCAGCGAGAUGCCGACGACGGCCUGGAACUGCGUGGUGAUGGAGCGCAAGAAGAACUUCUCCGGGUUCUCCUCCAGCUCCGCGUACUCGUCGGUGCCUGGCACCGGCAUCGGCCGCCGGCUCACCGACGGCCGGUUCGGGUGGUACCCGCAGUACGGGUACUGCCCGAAGUUGACGGCGGCGUGGAGCGCCGACGCGAUCCAGAUGAUGGUGGUGCAGGCCUUGACGAGCUCCGCCACCGUCUCCAUCUUGGGCCACCAUGGCUCGUCCUUGAGGUCGGCGUGCCCGACCUCGCGCGCCUCCUUCCACCAUGCCUGCAGCUCCACGUCCGCCUGCAGCACGCCGUCGUUGGGGUAGUAGAUGCCCAGGUACUCCGUCACCCACUGCUCGAUCGCGUGCCAGACGGCCAGCCCGUCAGACGCGUACGGGUAGUCCUCGAUCAGCAGCCGCACCUUGUACGGGCUCGACGGAUCUGGAACGGCCAUGCCUCUGCAUUGACAUUGCAGCAGGACAGGACGAUUGUUGAUUUAACUGUUACUCCGUAAUUAUUGUUAAUUGCUUCGUCGAUUACCGUUUGAUGAGGUCGUCGGGGAGGGCUUGGUCGGCGAAGUUCCAGGUGGCGUAGACUUUGGAGGUGAUCUCGAUGGCGUACUUGCGCGGGAAGACGGUCAUCUCGAAGAUGCCGCCGGCGUUGAUGAGCUUCUGUCGAGCGAGUGCGUUGAUGUUCAUGGUGUCGCGGUAGUGCGGCAGCAGCAGCCUGUGGACGGGGUGCGUCACGCUGAGCUGCCGGUUGGUGGCGAUCACGAAGGGCUCCAUGACGGCGUGCGUGUUGAGCCAGUGGCUGACGCCCUGGUGCCAGCAGUAGUCGUUCACGUUGACGUAGGCCUUGGCCAGGCGCCACACCCACGCCUCCGCGCCGGCGGCCGUCGGCGGCGCCGGCGUGUACACCGUGCUCUUCGCGGCGGUGACGUCCCGGACGAGCUCGGGGAGGCUCAUCUCGAUGGCCACCGGCGCGAGCGUGCCGUUGCCGCGCAGGAACAGGAGUGUCCGGGUGGCGUAGAUGAAGUUGUCGUCCAGGCUGUUGACCUCGAUCAGGAACGGCAUGUAGUGGUCGUGGUGGUCCAGGAUGUAGAGCCGGUUGCUGUCCAGCGCCUCCUGCACGGUGAGGCCCUCCAGGCUCCCCGCGAUGUGCGCCUCGGUGAUGGUGCUCGUCUGGUCGCCGUACUUGCUCGGAUCAAGGGUGCUUUUCGGAGGAAACUCCUGUUUGAUGAUCAUCCAAGACGCAGGAUAAUAAUGUUACUACUUGGUUGCCAUGACACUGAAAUCAAGCAAGACCGCCCAUGGUGUUUAAUUAGCUAGGCGCGCCUCCACAGUCCAUCCACUCACCGUCAGACGCCUGAUGAUCAGGGGGUUCACGCCGGCGAGUGUCUCCCUUGCGAACUCCUCGUCACUCAUCCAAGCUUUCUUGUCCUCUGCAUUAAUUUACAGGUAUGUAAGGGACAUUUUGCCCAAGCCAGAAAUUAACGAUGAUUCAUCAGCGAUCGAAUGCAAUUUAUUAAUUAAAACCUUUGAUGAUUUGGGGCAUGGGGAGUUUGAGGACGUAGUCGCCGCCGGCGGGCAUGAGGUCCUUGACCAUCUGAAGGGGGAACUGCUUGCGGAACUCCUCGAGCGCGGGGAUGUCGGGCAGCUUGAUCCCGCCCUCGUACAGCUGCAGGAUGUCCUUGAAGGAGUUGAACUCGAGGCCGAGGAAGUAGCCUUGGAGGAUGGGCACCAGGCCGUCGGCGAACGCCUUGAUGGUGUAGCCGUAGAAGUCGGAGUUCUUGAUGUGGCCGAACCGCUCGUCGCGCGGCACGUAGACGUCGCCGUCGACCAGCGUCAGCCUGCUCUCGCUGCUGGGGUCUGUCAGCGUCGGCUUCCGGCCCGUGCGGCCGCGGCGAGGGUAGGGGUGGUCCUUGGAGCCGCCGAGGACCGGGCGCGGGUUCCCGCCGUCGGGGUUGCCGAGGUCGUUGUAGACGUCGUAGCGGUAGACGCGGUCGUGCUCCUGGUAUGGCCCCUGCUGGUCGUCGCCCCUCAGGUUCCGGAGCUCGUCGUCGCGGUAGGGCUUCAGCGCCGCCGGCAUCUGGCUGGGCAGGUACGUCUGUUCGUGUGUAGAGGAUUCAUGUCAAGAGACAGGUAGCUGAAGCUCCUUGGUUUGCUGACGAACAUUGCAAUAAUGGGCGGCGCGGUACUCACGUCGUUGGAGAAGAAGACGCGGUUGUAGCGGUACUUGGACUGCGGGUAGAUCCAUGAGUUGGCGACGAAGACGACGGUGCCGUGGCCGGGGACGUCGUCGAGGGUGAUGGUCUUGAGGAAGAACUCGGAGGCGUGGUUGUUCUUGACGAUGAUGGCGCCUGGCACGCCGUGCUUCUCCACCUCCCAGUCGAAGGUGACGCCGAACUUGUUCUCGCCGGACAGCAGCGGCGGCGGUUGCAGCAGCCACUGCUCCAGGCUCGCCUCCGCGCCAACCUUCCCGCGGUUCCCGUUGUCUGCACGCGCCGGUCAGCGUCAGCGUACGUCAACGUGUAAAUGUACCCCUACCGUAGAUAUUAUUAGUAAUAGUAGUAUACUAUAAAAAGUAAUUAUGCGUUCUUUGUCUAAUAAGCUCUAGAUCCGGCCGGUUUGUACUAGAUUUAAAGUGGCUCGAUCAAUCGGUGUCGUUUUCGUCCAUGAUUGUGUCAAGAGCAUCCGUAGUUUUACUAGUUUUGUCGCUUUCUUUUUUUUUUUUCUGGAAACACGGCAUUGUUAUUAUUGACGCAUGUGCGAGAACAGUGUGAGGGAGAGAGGGAGGGGAUGGUGCUCUGCUCAGUGCUCACAGGGGUCGACGACAGUGGAGCUGAUGAGCUGGCAGGUGACGCCGCGGCCGAGGAACUCGCCGACGCCGUCGAUGACGGCGCCGGCCAUGCUGGUGACGUCGAAGCCGAGGACGGUUUUGCGCAUGAGCACCACGUUGCCCUUAAGGUGCGCAUUCUUGUUGCUGCCCGUGAUGUCGCUGAUCACCGGGAUCUUUCCAAUGUUCCCGAACAUCUUCGAUUCUUACUAGCUACUAGCUGUGGAGGACUGUGGGUACACUGUGUGUGUGAGUGAUCGAUGAGCGAGAAGGCCAGCUAUUUAUAGAGCGGGAGACGAUCGAGCUGGGGCCUGGGGGGCCGGCUCAUGAAGAUAAGACGUUGAGCAUGAUGAUUCCAGAUAAAGCAAUGUGUCAACUUCAGUAAAACUACUACGAUUUCGAGAGCCUAUGCGCAUCGGCGCAUGUGAUGUGUUCAAGACUCUGCUGUGACUGGACACAGCGUGUGUAGAAUAGCGCGUGUAUAUAAUUUAUACAUAUAAUUUAUACGCAUGAAGUUGAUGUAUAUCUUCAACGUGAUGAAGUUAUACAAAUAACUUAUACAUAUAACUUACUAUGCGACAAAGUUAUAUGUAUAACUUUUAUGUAUGAUAUUUUGCAAAACGAACUUAUCGACAUAAUUUGUUAGAAAGUUACAAAAAUUUUACACAAAACUUCUAUAUAUAACUUGAUAAGUGACUUAGAUGUAAAGUUGGAUGUAUAAGUUAUAUUCAAAAACUUGUAUGUACAAAUCAAUAUCAUAACAUAUUAGUAAAAAUAUUAAAACUACAUGUAAGAAAAUAAUUAUGAAGUAUAACUUGUUUGUCUAUUAAAUUGCAUAUACAUUGUGAAAGAAGUUAUUAAAAAAUUUAUGGUGAUAAGUUUUGUUCUGUAAAAUGUUAUAUUAAGCAUAAAUUGUAGAAAUAAGUUAUGUCCACAAUAUAUGUACAACAACUUAGUUACUUUCUAAAAAUAGAAAUUUACAUAUAUUACUUUUUCCAAAUAUAGCAGCUGAUCACUAAUCCAACGAGCAACAGCCAGAAUGGAAUUGGGCACCUAAACUCAUCUAUUGAACGGCAAGCAAGAUCUUUUUGAAUCUAUUUUUCUCCACCUAUUUGUUUUUACAAAGCAUAUUAAGAUUUCGAAAAGUUUUUAAAGGCGAUCAGUACUUUCUUAUCAAUACAUAUCAAUUGAUAUAGACCACAUUUUAUUAAAAGAUAUAAAGGUCCUCUGCUGGUGGUUUUUACAGCUGAUAAGCCGACUAAUGUUGUUUUGUUAUGAGAAAAUAACACUUUAUCAUGACUGAUAAACAAAGCUGAUAGGUUUAAGCGAACAUGGCGACUUUUCUCUUUCUUCACUUCUGAACAAUUUUAACAUAUAAUUCUCCGUCUCCAGCAAGACGAAGCUUCUUUGGAAGCGACUAAUUUUAGAUUUAAAGGUUGAGCACUCUAGCAAGACUUCCUCCCCUCGUGAGAGCACAAAACGGGAGUCUAAUAGUCACCGAUAUAAAGAUGAUUAGGCAAAAAAUAAAAAAUAAAAAAUCUGUGCAUGUGUGGUGUAGAUGAGUCCGGUGCAGCACCUCACCUCAUAAUUGCAUCUGCUUUGGACGGUUGUGAUGAGGUGCUGCAUUGUUUUUCUUUUCUUUACCAUUUUCAUAUUUUUUUCUUUUGUCAGAUAGGGCUUUCAUUUUGUUUAUUCUGACAUUUUACAGUCGCGCUCGUAGCAACCACCCACAAUAAAAAAAAAUAUUCAUAUUUUUUUCUGCACGUAUGGUGUCCGAGACCCCACGUCAAGCACUGCGUAUUUUAACUCGGUGCCAACUUUCCAUUGGAGUAGGACAAAUAAUGGUCGAUCCAAUCGCUUAGGGUUGCGUCAUUUCAAUUAUUCAUUGGGACAUAUGGUCAAGCAAGGGAGGGUGCAUGUCAGAGUUAGGACCUGAAAUGGCCACCGCAUGGAGAAAGGGGGGAAAGUGUCCAGCUUCGCCUCCACUGCCCUCCGCCAGUGUGGUCAAGGAUAUGUUUGUAAGCAAAAGUGAUAUACGAUAAUGAUCCUGUGAAACACACGGAUAGCAUAAGGCGCGGUGUGGAUUAUAUAGCAAGUAACCUAAAUCUUUCUGAACUCUAAGUUGAGUUUUCAAUUUGUCCGAGAUGCAUACAUGUUACAAAUCUAUACAACCUACUCCUCAAGGGUUGACGUCUCAGAGCACGUACUCUACUUGUAGUUCAUACUAGUACCUCCAAGUUCCUACUGUAUAACUUAACACCUGAGGUCUUAGGGUUCAAUUGACGGUUCCAAAACUUCAUGGCGUGCCAUCAGGAAACAUUAUUUUCGUGAUUCAGGUAGAUCGUUAAAUAAAGAGAAUUAUAAUUAUCUUGAGUGAAUUAGUCGAAAGACAAAAUUUGCUAGCGGACACUAAAAGUGGAGGUUGUUUUCUGACGAACACAAGACACUUUCGUUACUGACAAUUAUAUUACCGGACACCACGCCACGUAUUUUAUUUAUUUCUAUCCGUUGAGGAGAGAGAAAGGUUGGGAAAUAUCAUUUUGGUCCCUAUCUCUUUCUUCUUUCUCUCUCUUUUAUCUUUAGAGGCAGUUUAGGUCUUGUUUAGUUCAUCCAAAAUCUAAGAUUUUUUCAAGAUUAUCUAUUAUAUCGAAUUUUACAGCACAUGCAUAAAGCACUAAAUAUAGAUAAAAACAUAACUAAUUACACAGUUUGUCCGUAAUUCGUGAGACGAAUCUUUUGAAUCUAAUUAGUUCAUGGUUAGACAAUAAUUAGUAAAUACAAACAAAAGUGCUAUAGUAUCCAAAAUUAAAAAAAAAUUAUCAACUAAACAAGACCUUAGAUAGUAAAAUACAAGUAAAGCUCUAGUUUUGUGUGUGAGAAACUGAGGACUGGGGUAAGGAGUUAAGGACUGUGGGCCGAGCACAUGCUGUCACCCUCGUCUAUCCGCUGCCUGUGCCCGGUGGCCCCCAUGAUGCAUGAAUUGUUGCAGCCUUUCGUCAUCGUAGUCAUCAAUGAUGGAUGGAUUAAUAUUUUUCAAUAUUGCCGUGCGGGCGUGGCAAUAGGCAUCUGGGGGAGCUUUCACAUCCAUGUCAUCAAAGUUGCUAGAUGCUGCUGGUCUGUCAAAUGGGUACAGUACAUACUGUACACUCACAAUGUAGACUCUAUCGUAGAGUCUAAAUAAGAUUUGGAGUCUUAGAGUCUAAAUAAGACUUGGAGUCUUGUUUUUUCUACCUCUUUCUUCAAUAAAUAUGCUGUCGUAUCAGCAAAAUCUCAUAAAUAAUAUGUAAUUAAUUGUCUUAGACUCUAUGAUAGAGUCUUGCAUUGUGAGUGCUUUAGGACAAUCAAGUGCAAGCUGCUCGUGCGUGGAUCACGUUGUGACUCGUAAUAAAUCGCCGCGUCGGUAGGUACUUGUCCAUCCGUUCCUGUACAUAUAUUGUUUUAAUAAUUAUACAUCUAGAUAUAUUAUAUAUUUAAAUAUACAGCAAAGUCUGUAUAUCUUAAAAAAUCAAAAUAUCUUACAGUUUAAAACAUAAGGAGUAGAAAAUACAAGCUACACGUGCUCCGCCCAUACGGUUUCUCUAUUAUUUUUCUAAACUGAACAAACUUUUGUAAAUUUAAACAACAUUUUUAGGUGUUCUGGAAUAGGCCUGGGGAUUGGAUUGAUUAUAGAAACACAAUCACAACACCUUUGCUAUAUAUUGUGAGGAUCUCCAACAAAUCCUUAAAAAAAUAGUCCCAGAAAACUGACUUUUGAAAGAUUGCUAAAAUUUAUCGAGAGAAAAAACCUAAUAUACUCCAACAAUUCCUAUGACUUGUGAAAAAAACAAAUCAAAUUGCUGCCACUUCAUUUCUAUAUAUGGGCCAUCUCUUAGUGGGCUCUUCAUUCAGGCACGCGCCUGUCAGACCGUGGCGUAUGCGCUGAACUGACUGAACCCACCACCGGAAGUAGUGGCGCCGCGGCGCAACCAACAUUCCCAGUUGCCACCGCGCACCGCGCACCCCCACGCCCACGCAACGCAAGGAGCCAACUUGUAGCAUCAGACUCCCGCAUGUGCCGUGUGCUGACACUUCGCAGGCGGCGAAAACUACACCAUGCGUGUAGCUUAUUUUCUGCCAACCAUUGCUCAUUCGACUUGUUCGUUUCGCUGAUAAAGACGAGGCAACGCAACGCCCGCACGCACCAUCAUCGGCAUGCAAUCUUGCGGCACGCUGAUGAUUGCCUUUGCCGAGAAUCUGGGUAGCCUCCGGUCCGGUGGAACAACAACCAGACCGACGAUGCACCGGCACCGUGCACGUCAUAGUCUCGCGUCUGCCGGCGGCAUAUGCCAAGUUACUGUAUGGGCCAACCUCGCCGACGGCGACAAUGCGAAGCGCCGCCGGCCGUUGGCCCGUUGUGGUUGUGGGUGGCCGUGGCCGAUGCAAUCGACGACAGAUGCCUCGCCAAAAACACACUGCAAAUCUCAACCACGAACCUUACCUUACAUAGAGAACCAGAUGCGUCACUGUUGACGUCGACUCUGAUUUUGCGCCAAUGGUCGAUGAAAGCUACUACCAGGAACACGUGGCGGCGUGGCGAUGACAUGUCAUUUCCGGGAGACUGUCGAGACGACCGUCAGGACGUACUGUAGCAUGUGCUGCGAUUGCCAAUUCCCAGCACCAACAGAAAAGCACCGGAUGAUUUUAGAAAUGGGAAACGCCGAGAAGAGGCCCAAAGGCAGCAAAAGAUUUGGUUUCGCUUCUGGCUGUUGGCUUUAUUCGCUGUUCGCCGUUCAUCAGUCACCAUGUGAGAGACGAUUCCGGCUUUGCCUGGUGCUGUACGUGUGCUGUGAUGAAUACAGUGAUGCGCUACCGUACCGCCCUGUAGGAAUCAUGCCGUUGUUUUCUGGCCGUCUAAUGAUCAACCUGCAGAAUGUUUUUGAGUUUGAUAACAUCUCUGUGGACCGUGGUCUUGGUAUUUGUCAGCUACCAUGUGGUUUUCUCACAUACCUAUUGACGUUAGUGGAGUACUUCCUUUAUAUAAGUGGAGCAAAGCGAAACAUGCUUGUUCACGCUUCGAAUUUUUUUUAUAAAAAAAAAACUGUCGUCUUCGCUGAAACCAACUUGAAGAGGCCUGGAUGCACAACAAUAUACUACUAGCGUCUAAACAAACAAGAUUGUUGCAUAUACGUAUCACAAUACUUCACUAGCUUCACGUCACGUUUAUAACGAUGCAAGGAUCUUCACAGCACAAACUUCCGCAUAUAAUACAGAAAUGAGCAAAGUGCAGGCGAUGGAACAGCAAUCGUAAGGACAGACUUGCAGAUGCAGCGUAUAUUCCACAGGUGGCAGAUCAUGCAACAGCUCAGCUACCGUUUAGCACCAACCAGAGAGCGCAUGCUUCAAGCUGAUCACAUGUUGGGAUUAAUUUCUCUGAACCUCAAUCAAUACACACAGGCGAAUACAAAACAAACAAAGCUGAUCAAUGAAGCCCCAGUGGCCCAGUUACAUAACCAUUCGGCAGAUGCCGCCAGUGUGCUCUGUCUGUGAAUAUCAUCUCUUAUCAGGACCAGAUACCACAAUUUUAAAUGUAAACCCCAAAUGCAAUUCAUUCACCAACUGAACAAAAGUUCAAAUGAUUUUUUGUUUUUAAAAAAUAUGCUACAAUUAUGGAUUAAUUAUUUGAUCGUAUCAAAUGCAUUCUUAACAUAAAAAAAAAGCUCUGCUUAUUGCAAGUUCUAAAACAAAACACCCUUUCACAAGGGGAACUAGGGCAAACAAAAAGGGCAGGUAAGAUGGAGCACCCGCUUCUUCUGAACCAGAUCAGCAUACAAUACAAUUUGCAGAAAGUCGAAGCUAGUGAAACCAUAGCAAAUACGAUUAUCUAUGCCUUCUCUAUUAGCUGCAAGACCUCAGCUUCAGUGGGCAGCGACGGGAUCGCCCCCUUCUUCGUGGUGGUGAUUGCUCCACACGCGUUAGCGAAUUUAAUAGACUCCACAAGUUUCUUCUCAUCCUGUACAGUCACCAGAUACCAAAUUUCAACCACAUGGUAAAACUGAAAACUGAAGGACCAGAUUCACAUGUAGAACCAACAAUUUUUCAGAUCAAAGAACAAAUUUCAGGCUACAUACUUGUAGUGAGGAUGGAUCUUUAACGAUCCUUUGGAGCAGAGCACCAACAAACGCAUCACCUGCGCCAGUUGUAUCAACUUGUUGUACUUUGAAGGAAGGGACAGCUCCAUGGAAAUCCUGCAAUCAAACAAAGUAAACUUGUGUGAGUCUCAGCUGCACAUUAAGUCUUUCACCGUUACAUAUGCUAAAAGUGUACACUUUGAAUUUGGCAAAGACAGGAACUAGUGAAGUUCAAUAUAAGCAGCCCGUGACUAUUUAGCAUCAAUAACACAUUUUCAUAUGAAAGCAGCAAUCACAAAGUUAUAAAAGCAUACCCUGGCAUAGUACUUGCAUCCUUGAUCUCCAAGAGUCACUAGGAGCAGCUUCAUGGUAGGUCGCCACAGCUUCAUGACAACAUCGUCCUCCACCGAGUCGAUGCCUGUCAAGAACUCAAGCUCGACUUCACUGACCUUGACAAUGUCUGCCUGGUCCCAAAUGCUCAAGAUCUGGGUGCGGGCCUCCUCACGGGAUGGCCAUAGCGCCUCCCUCAGGUUUGGGUCAUAAGAGAGCAGUGCACCGGCCUCUUUGGCAAUCUCCAUGGCACGGAGAUGUGCCGUCCGGCAAGGCUCAGCAAUCAAGCUUAUUGAUCCGUAGUGAAAGACCGCAGCCUGUAUGUAGAAAAUACAACUCAUGAAGAUUUUAUUUACCCAAACAGAGGGGGUGGUGAGGGGUGUGGGAUGGACAAUGUGAUGCUUAGUGAACCAAUCUGAGUCAUUGCAUUAGUUCCAGUAAACUCUACAAAUGACAGCCUUUUUUUAACAUGUUUACAGAAAGCAUAAAAAAAACUGAAACAUCUAGCACACCUGAUACGUGGUAAUUCUAGAUUUAGUUCAAGUUCUUGGUGUAAAGAAAAUGGAAUAGUGCUAAUCCAAAUUCUAGAUUUAGUUAUGCAUUUACAUCUUCAAUGGAGCAGGAGAAACUGAAGUAGUACUAUGUCACGUCAGUUGCAAUUAUUGACCCACCACAAAGAAACAAAAUUCCGGCGUGGACUCCAUUAAUACACGCCAUGGCUAAUGAUUUCUACAAGGCCAGCUCACGCCGAUGAAGAUCCAAGAAGCACGGGGUUUGACUAGUUUCAUAACGGCUCUCCUUUGGAUUGGAUUACUACUACUGCUACUACUUGUCUGUCUCCCCGCAAUUUUUAGGAUGAAUCACAGAAGCCACAUGACCAGAUCCAGAAAAGAACAAUUCGCCAACUAGAACGCACAACAAGAUCCGACCAAAACCAGCAAAGAAAGGCGCCCACUUUGGCCCCGGAAUCUUUGGAUUCCACGGGAAGAUUCAACAUCAAAGACCCGAAUUAGACGACGGGAAAAAAAGGAUACCUUUUAUUUUGAACGUAAUAAACAAGAACAGGCCGGCCCAAGAAAAUUAGAGACGCCGCAACCUAAACCGCACGCGAAAUCAGCGCAAGAAACCUAGCGGUCGCAUCCAGAUCCCACCCGGGAUCGAAUCAAGAAAUGGGCGGAAAGAUUGAUACUGUACUCGACGGGAUCAAUCACAAUAAUAAGGCCGUGCGCAGAUCACGGGGGUGUGAAGGGAGGCACGGGGAUCGAUCACCAAGGAAAGGAUAUCAGGGUGGCGUGGCGUGGCGCGGCUUAACUUACCCUCUUGAUGAGCUCGACGUUGAGCUCGUCGGCGGUGAGGAGCAUGUCGGCGCUGGGGUUGCGGUAGAACAUGAACUCGCGCUCGCCGUCCGCGCGGAGGGUGACGAAGGCGAGCGCGGUGCGCGCGCCGGCGUCGAAGACGACGCCGCCGUCGUCGACGCCGUUGUCGCGGAGGAUGGCGGCGAGCAUGCGGCCGAACUCGUCGUCGCCGAGCUUGCCGACGAAGGCGGCCCCGCCGCCGAGGCGCGAGACGGCGAUGGCGACGUUGGCGGGCGCGCCCCCGGGCGCCUUGAGGAACGCCGGCGCCUCCGCCAGCGAGACCCCCGCCACGGUCGGCACGAAGUCUAUCAGCAUCUCGCCGAAACUCACCACCAGCUCUCGCCCGGCCGCCAUUGCUUGCGCCUCGCGGUUGCCGCCCCUCCCUAACAAACACAACGCACGGACGCAGAGGUCGGGUGUGGGUGGGGAGAGAGGACUAGAGGAAGGGAGGUGGGCGCGUGUGGGGAAUUUUCUGGUGAGGUGGCGAGGCGGCGUGUUUUAUAGAGGAGGGAAGGGAUGCCUUGGCUUGGGUAGGGGGGUGAUGGCGAAGGCGGAUGAGAGGGAGGAGAUGGUGGGGUGCGGCCGCGCGGGGUGGCGUCACAAGGGGAUGACCGGAGGCAGGUGCGCUGUUGACGGCUGCCCUACUUCGAUCGGUUAGCAUUUUGUUUAGAACGUACCAAGAGGGAACCAUGCCUUGCCGUAGAAUGGUGCGAGUGAAGCCUAACAAGGAUGAUUUUGGAUGUUGCAAUAAAAAUAACAUUCGUAUGCGUAGUAAACGUGGAAAUUAUGGAUAAAAGACGGCAUUAUAUUGCAACAAAUUAGGCGUGUCUAUUGGACUUUCUAUUUUACCUAAACUUGUUAUUGUUGCCCUUACUAUAAAGCCUUAUGGAUAGACUUAGAACAUUUUUAUUAUUUUAUAUAAAAAGUGAAUUAAAUCUAUUUUUUGCUCGGUUGCACUACUUUAGCUACACUCAUUACUAUAAUACAUGAGCUAGUUGCAGCUGCAGCUCAAGUAGCGUAGCUGCCUAUUAGAGUAGGUACAAUAACUUGUCGAAUUGCUCAGCACAUCAGCGAAAGUAAUGACAUGGAGGAGAGAGGGCACACGAGACAAGCUAGCUUGUCGCAGCAAUCGUCGAUCAGUGGUACACGCCCUCUAAUAUACGUAACAACUAAGCAUUCAAUAUCAUUUGUAUGUUAUCUUGCUCUCUGCUCCACUAAAAUACUGACAGGUGGAAGAGAUUAGUAGAUUAAAGAAUAAUCAAUUGUUUGGAAAUUUAAUCAAAAGACAAGAAACCUACCGUUAUUGUAUGAAUUAGUUGUAUGGUGCUUGUCUUAUAGAACAAGAAAACUUAUCUCAACAAUUGGCCUUGCUCUUAGGACCAAACUUGUUAAUAGGAGAAGUAGAGAACCAUAAAGUAUGUGGGAAGUUUGUGAGUGUACGUGAAAAAUAUGGCUACCAUAGUCUUGGCUGCGUGGUUCCUCCCUUGAUGACUCCACAUAACAUCAAUUGCUCCAGCUCAUCCGUGGAGUCAGCUGAAGCUAACGUGUUGUUGGCAAAGCACUCCAUCGCACGUAGGAGGAGAAAAUCUGUUGCGGCCAUGUCCACCUGGAGCAAUGUAGGACAAAACAAAGGGUGAUGCCACCAAGGCCUCGAUGAGUUCCAUCGUCCACGUGGAUCCUCCUAGCUGUCCCACAAUUGGACCCAGAUACAACGAGCUAAUAAAGGGGUCUCAAUUUGGUCACGAUAGUUUUUUUUUAUACGGGCACGAUAGUUAUUAUGGUAGUAAAGUUUAUCUGCGUGGUCGAUACACUUGUUUUUGUCUAUUUAGGGCUUGUUUGAUAUCAUUUUCAUACAUAUUGAGAUUCUAGAUUAAUAUUCCGAAUUUUGUAGAGAAAAAAGGUAAGGGGUAUUUGGAUCUCAUUUUGAAGUGAUUACUGCUUUUUGCAUAGUAAAAAUCUCCAAAUAUUAGGUUUGGAUCUCAUUCUAGAAUUCUAGUGUUUGGAUCUCAUCCUAAUUCUCAAUUUUGUUAGGAGAUCGAAACAAGCCCUCGUGGUUCCCACUGUAUGGAUCUCUGUUCCUGGACUCUACCAUAAACAUGCAAGUGAAUUCAUAGUUUUUUCGGUAUGUCUGUUUACUGUGAUCUUGGGUUGAUUGUUAGAUGCUUGCAUAUACUCCCUUUAUUCUAUAAUAUAGUAUAUUUUAAAUAUUUUAGGACAUGUUAAUAGAGAACAAAAAAUAUGUAUGUAUCAUCACUUUGUUUUCUAAUCGGAUGUUUAUUAUCAAUAUAUGAUUAAUGGUGACUGAUUAAUAAAUGACAAGUAACAAUAUACUACUUGCCAAAUUUAUGCAAGUAAUUUAACACAAUACCCUUUUUUGUCUUGAAUACCUUAUAUUUAAGUAUAUUUUUAGAUGUUUGAAUACACUAUGCUACAAGACAGAGAAAGGAGGUGGGGUUGAUGUCGAUCGGAGCCCUUCAUUUGUUCACUAAUUAAUAUUUGGCUUGGCGUUGGUACAUACUGACAUCUGCCAUCUCCCAUCUGCAAUAACAAUGUUGCUUAGAGCAUCAAAUAAUUAGCCGCUGCACUUGCACAUUGGAUAGACCAUUAUCAACCAUUGUUGGGAGAUAUUAAACAUGAUAUUAUGUGGAACGAAAAUAAAACUAUCGUAACUCUCUAGGUAGGUAGGUAAGAACAACUCCAACAAAAAAAAUUAGAAGGGUUUUUCUUUUAAAGUUUGUCAGUCAAAAUUAGUCAAAUUAUGAUCUCUAAUUUUCAUUUAAGGGCUUCUUCUUCUACUUUCUAGGUUUUUUUUCUAACAAGUGGGCAGAAGAGCACCCUACCUAUUUUUUUAUUUUUGCAUCUUCUCUAGCUGGAGCCCUCAAAUCCAUUCAGUAGACAUUGAUAUAUGGUAUCUACUCAUUAUUCCCCUAAAAUCCAUUCAAUAGACAUUGAUAUAUGGUAUGUAGUCAUUAUUCUCUAUUCUUCUCCUUCCUUGCUCUCAUCGACUACGCUAUGCACAUUGGUGUCGGGGCAGAGGAGUCAUGCCUCCAUGAUAGGGGAGACGAUAGAUGGGAGAGGAGCCUUCAUUGCACCAGAGGAGGCGGCAGGACGGGAAAGGACGGCUCUAACAGCCUUGGACCUUCAUCCGGUGACACUACUUCUUCCCUAUUUAGAUGUACACGAAGAUGUAGGUGGUGGCGCGAUUGGAGGGAGUAGAGUGAUGGAGUGGGAGAGAGCCGGACAAAAAUAAAACAAUGCAAUGAAGCAAAUUGAGUCAAAAAUUUUCCUGUGAAAAAAUAUAGUAGGAAGCUCCCUAGACACCAUCGGGAGAUGGGCUUGAGGGGAGAGAUUUGUGUGGCUCCAUAAAGUAAGGGCAUGGUUGUU
Molecule: long non-coding RNA, 42222 nt
Filed under: Sorghum bicolor (sorghum)
Lineage: Eukaryota; Viridiplantae; Streptophyta; Magnoliopsida; Poales; Poaceae
Description: long non-coding RNA (SBIC_LNC005819)
Source: RNAcentral